This 253-nucleotide ribosomal RNA is filed under the name uncultured bacterium. RNAcentral's name for it is "partial 16S ribosomal RNA". It matches the Rfam family "Bacterial small subunit ribosomal RNA", at positions 524 to 776 of the family's 1533-position model. The record is from RNAcentral.
UACGUAGGGUGCAAGCGUUGUCCGGAAUUACUGGGCGUAAAGAGCUCGUAGGUGGUUUGUCGCGUUGUUCGUGAAAACUCACAGCUCAACUGUGGGCGUGCGGGCGAUACGGGCAGACUUGAGUACUGCAGGGGAGACUGGAAUUCCUGGUGUAGCGGUGGAAUGCGCAGAUAUCAGGAGGAACACCGGUGGCGAAGGCGGGUCUCUGGGCCGAUACUGACGCUGAGGAGCGAAAGCGUGGGGAGCGAACAGG